CCCCCAUCGAUUUGCUCUAC
Molecule: microRNA, 20 nt
Filed under: Gallus gallus (chicken)
Lineage: Eukaryota; Metazoa; Chordata; Aves; Galliformes; Phasianidae
Description: microRNA Ros-gga
Source: RNAcentral